ACUCUUUUAGUAUAUAAAUAUAAUUGACUUCCAAUCAAUAGAUCUCACCUGAGAAAGAGUA
This 61-nucleotide transfer RNA is filed under the name Cyclopelta parva. RNAcentral's name for it is "tRNA-Gly". RNAcentral also lists the same sequence under 1 other name. Lineage: Eukaryota; Metazoa; Arthropoda; Insecta; Hemiptera; Dinidoridae. The record is from RNAcentral.